UGCCCCGAGUUCAGAUCUGGUCUUCUACUCGUACUGUCUAUGUCACAUGGACUUUGAACUCUCCAAGCUGUAAAGGUUUAUGCUCACUCAGUGGUCUUUAUGGAGCACCUAAUGUGUGCACAACUUCACCCUAAACAAAUACACUAAGACCAAUGGGACACAGUGAAGCACUGCCCCACGGCGAGAUGGGAGUAAACAUCCCAGCCUCAAGGACAGUGGGUGUGUUAAGUGAGGCAGAAGAUGGGACCGUACAUGGCCCAGUUUUAUCAUUUCCUUCUCCUUUCCCUUCAUGUCCUUCCCCACAGUCCUGGGAGACUCAGCUCUUCAAAUGACGAGGGAGGAUUGGAGAAAGCCCAGGCUGGCCUGAGCAGGAAGUGCUGGUCAAAGCUCGGAGAGCACGCCAUUCCAUUCUUUGCCCGCGCCUCCUCCUCUGCCCCUUGGAUUGAGAAUGGAAAACCUGAGUAACCUGACAUCGUGGUGAAGGAUUCAGCCUGCGUGGACUCAGACAGCCGAGGGAGGAUGGAACCAGACAGGAAGUCAGGCUGCGCUGUGCCCAGCCCAGGGGCCUCCGGCUUCUCUGCAUAGAAUUCCAGCGCCAAGGACACCCAGAGCUCCCUCGAGUCCUGAAGACCCCUAGGGUGCUUCCCCCUGCCCUGCAUUUCUCUGUCUUUUCUCGCAUGCUUCUAGAUAACAGAAAUGGUUCUUAAUAAAUUCCUGUUUACAGUAAAAUUGAUGCUCCUGAGAGAUGACCUCGGUUUGCUGUUUUGUACCCUCCCCCGCGGACUCGGGUCCA
This 793-nucleotide long non-coding RNA is filed under the name Chinchilla lanigera (long-tailed chinchilla). Its description in RNAcentral is "lncRNA (ENSCLAG00000023663.1)". Lineage: Eukaryota; Metazoa; Chordata; Mammalia; Rodentia; Chinchillidae. The record is from RNAcentral.